UACGUAGGUGGCAAGCGUUGUCCGGAUUUACUGGGCGUAAAGAGCGCGCAGGCGGUCAAGUAAGUCGAAUGUGAAAGCCCCCGGCUCAACUGGGGAGGGUCAUUCGAUACUGCUCGACUUGAAGGCAGGAGAGAGAAGCAGAAUUCCCGGUGUAGUGGUGAAAUGCGUAGAUAUCGGGAGGAACAUCUGUGGCGAAGGCGGCCAUCUGGACCAGCACUGACACUGAGGCACGAAAGCGUGGGGAGCAAACAGG
This 253-nucleotide ribosomal RNA is filed under the name uncultured bacterium. RNAcentral describes it as "partial 16S ribosomal RNA". It matches the Rfam family "Bacterial small subunit ribosomal RNA", at positions 524 to 776 of the family's 1533-position model. The record is from RNAcentral.